This 577-nucleotide ribosomal RNA is filed under the name uncultured bacterium. RNAcentral describes it as "partial 16S ribosomal RNA". It matches the Rfam family "Bacterial small subunit ribosomal RNA", at positions 355 to 932 of the family's 1533-position model. The record is from RNAcentral.
UGGGGAAUUUUGGACAAUGGGCGAAAGCCUGAUCCAGCAAUGCCGCGUGUGUGAAGAAGGCCUUCGGGUUGUAAAGCACUUUUGUCCGGAAAGAAAUCCUUGGCUCUAAUACAGUCGGGGGAUGACGGUACCGGAAGAAUAAGCACCGGCUAACUACGUGCCAGCAGCCGCGGUAAUACGUAGGGUGCAAGCGUUAAUCGGAAUUACUGGGCGUAAAGCGUGCGCAGGCGGUUUGCUAAGACCGAUGUGAAAUCCCCGGGCUCAACCUGGGAACUGCAUUGGUGACUGGCAGGCUAGAGUAUGGCAGAGGGGGGUAGAAUUCCACGUGUAGCAGUGAAAUGCGUAGAGAUGUGGAGGAAUACCGAUGGCGAAGGCAGCCCCCUGGGCCAAUACUGACGCUCAUGCACGAAAGCGUGGGGAGCAAACAGGAUUAGAUACCCUGGUAGUCCACGCCCUAAACGAUGUCAACUAGUUGUUGGGGAUUCAUUCCUUAGUAACGUAGCUAACGCGUGAAGUUGACCGCCUGGGGAGUACGGUCGCAAGAUUAAAACUCAAUGAAUUGACGGGGUCAUAGCUG